This 253-nucleotide ribosomal RNA is filed under the name uncultured bacterium. RNAcentral describes it as "partial 16S ribosomal RNA". It matches the Rfam family "Archaeal small subunit ribosomal RNA", at positions 474 to 727 of the family's 1478-position model. The record is from RNAcentral.
UACCAGCACCCCGAGUGGUCGGGACGAUUAUUGGGCCUAAAGCAUCCGUAGCCGGCCUUACAAGUCCUCCGUUAAAUCCAGCUGCUUAACAGAUGGGCUGCGGAGGAUACUAUAAGACUAGGAGGCAGGAGAGGCAAGCGGUACUCAGUGGGUAGGGGUAAGAUCCGUUGAUCCAUUGAAGACCACCAGUGGCGAAGGCGGCUUGCCAGAAUGCGCUCGACGGUGAGGGAUGAAAGCUGGGGGGGCAAACCGG